This 1521-nucleotide unclassified non-coding RNA is filed under the name uncultured fungus. RNAcentral's name for it is "sequence contains 18S rRNA gene, ITS1, 5.8S rRNA gene, ITS2, 28S rRNA gene". The stretch from base 503 to 1521 matches the Rfam family "Eukaryotic large subunit ribosomal RNA", at positions 1 to 961 of the family's 3401-position model. Lineage: Eukaryota; Fungi. The record is from RNAcentral.
GGUUGGAUCAUUACUAAUGGGUUUUUACCUAUACACUGUGUGAACUGUUUUUGUAUUUGGUGACUCUUCAGCCUCUUGAGGUUUGAGGACCACCGCUAUUUUUGAACCCCAUUUUAUUGAGUCUUGAUUUUCUGUUUUAAUAAGAAACAACUUUUGACAACGGAUCUCUUGGCUCUCGCAACGAUGAAGAACGCAGCGAAAUGCGAUACGUAAUGUGAAUUGCAGAAUUCAGUGAAUCAUCGAAUCUUUGAACGCAUAUUGCGCUCUCUGGUAUUCCGGAGAGCAUGCCUGUUUGAGUACCUAUUAAUUCUCAAUCACUAGCUGAUUGGAACUGAGUCGUGUUUUUGUAAAGGAACUGACUUUAAAGGAAUGUCCAGAGGUGGUUCAACAUCCUUCCUAGGAACAGUAAUUGAAUGAGUUUUCUCAGCCUUUUCCAAGUACUAGUGUUUGAUGGUGGACCUUCAGCUUUUGGCUAACUAUUGAAUCUUACGAUUCAGAACCAUGGUCUCAAAUCAGGUAGGAAGACCCGCUGAACUUAAGCAUAUCAAUAAGCGGAGGAAAAGAAACUAACAAGGAUUCCCCUAGUAACGGCGAGUGAAGCGGGAAUAGCUCAAAUUUGAAAUCUCACAGGUUUCCUGUGCGAAUUGUAGUUUAGAGAGUCGUUUUCGGGGGCCGCUUGAGCACAAGUCCUUUGGAACAGGGCAUCAUAGAGGGUGAGAAUCCCGUCUUUGGUUCAAGAUGAGCUCCUAUGUGAUACGAUUUCAAAGAGUCGGUUUGUUUGGGAAUGCAGACCAAAAUGGGUGGUAAAUACCAUCUAAGGCUAAAUAUUGGCGAGAGACCGAUAGCGAACAAGUACCGUGAGGGAAAGAUGAAAAGAACUUUGAAAAGAGAGUUAAAUAGUACGUGAAAUUGUCAAAAGGGAAACGCUUGAAACCAGUAUUGCUUUUGGGAAAUCAGCUGCUCUUUGGGCGGUGCACUUUUCCAAUAGCAGGUCAACAUCGAUUUGACUUGGGGUAAAAAGCGCUAGGAAUGUAGCCCUUCGGGGUGUUAUAGACUGGUGUGCUGCCUUGGGUUGGAUCGAGGAAUGCAGUACUCUUGGGGGUCUAGUCGCCUUUGAAAGCAUCGGGGUAGACAGCGUGCUGAUUACUCUGAAUGUCUAGAAGAACGGUUAGUUUUCCUACACUAGUACUUGGGAUGUUGACGAAAUGGUUUUAAACGACCCGUCUUGAAACACGGACCAAGGAGUCUAACAUGUAUGCGAGUAUUUGGGUGGCAAACCCUUAUGCGUAAUGAAAGUGAAAAUGGUGGGAUAUUUGCACCAUCGACCGGCCUGGAUUUUUUUGAAAGGUCUGAGUAAGAGCAUAUAUGCUGGGACCCGAAAGAUGGUGAACUAUGCCUGAAUAGGGUGAAGCCAGAGGAAACUCUGGUGGAGGCUCGUAGCGAUUCUGACGUGCAAAUCGAUCGUCAAAUUUGGGUAUAGGGGCGAAAGACUAAUCGAACCAUCUAGUAGCUGGUUCCCUC